CAUGACUCUCCUCUCUGAGACAGCCACAGGUUAGAAUCCUCCCGGUCCAAAGCUAGAGAGCCAACGGCCAUACAUGGAAGAGAGGAAAGGAAAUCUUUGCAAAACAUCUUCUCAAGGCAGAGAAAGCUGUCUUGCUCCAGCUGACGGAUCCCAGGCACUUGUCACAAGCCGCAGACUUCUGGACAUGCACCAGUAAUCUGGUCUAUGACCAGAUGCAUACUGUCAUCAGCUCCUUUGACAAGCCCAAGAAUGAUGAAAAAAAGACAAAACAACAACAAAAACUCACCACACUUAGAACUGAUUGAAUUUUAAUUCAUUUGUCACAAGACAAGGUCUGCUGUGACUAUGAUGCACCAGGACAGGAGCGAGACUGUUGGUGACCAGAGCCGAACACAAACUGUGAACAUCAUCUAAGUCACAAAACACCAAGCAGCUCGUCUUCUUCAUGCAUUGGAGCUUCAGUUGUCCCAGCGUGCCUGUCCUCUACAUGAUAGCUGCAGAGACUUGGGCAGAAACAAACCUCAGUCCUGUAAGUCUUCCGGAAGACCCGAGGAGGCCUUUAAAAAGUGCAUCCCACUCCUGUACCACGAAAUGCGCCUGGCUUACAACACUAUGGGUGUCCUCUUUGGGACACUCCUUCACAGUUCACAUUUGUGAGCACCUUAAUGUGUUAGGUACCAGAUGGAUGCUCAUGUACAGGAAUUCACUGGAUCUCGGUAGCAGUCCUGUGGGAAAAUACAACUGGCCCCUAAUCUCCAGAAGCUGGCAGACUGAAAUCUCAUCUGUUUGCACAAAGUGGAGCCAGGAUUUGAGCCCUGGCAAUCUAGCUCCACAGCCUGACUUUUUAACCACCAUGUUUUCGACACCCCUGAGAUGUGCUCCUGUUUCCUCUCCACCACUGGCCUUCAUUUUCAGAAUCCAUUUCAGAGGUGACGCGCAGGCUAAGGAGCUGUCUUUGAGACGUUGUUAUCAAGGACCAAGAGCUCCGUGGGAGGUCAAAUGGUUUAGGGGUUGACUAACUGGCAACGUAGCGAGGGCAUGGAGUCCCUUCUGCAGGCUUCACUGGCCUUUAUGAGCUGCCAUGUGCUGUGGCCUCUCCUGCUGAGGUUCCUUGGUUCCUGCUCACCUCCGCUGCAGGAACACUUCCUUGGGAAUCGGUGUGGAGAGUCCUGGGCCCUCCCUUCUCAUACACACCCGGGCUGUCCUUAUCUGCCUGACACCUGCAGCCAAGAUUGGGCUUUGACAGAGCCCUGUCACCUCACUAAACACUGGCUGGCUGCUGUUCCCACUAGUCCUGUACAAACAGGUUCUUUGCAUAAGGGCCACCAGCAGGCUUAUCCAUGGCCUGGGCACUGUGCCAACAUGUGGGUUAUCAGGUUGGCACACCUCGUCCUUUCUCUGGAGAUACUGGGUCAGAUGCUAACUUAGGGCUCCAGGGCCUCAGGACAGCAGGGCUUGUGCCCCAUUCCCAGAAUACUUUCCUCCAUCUUCUCUAAAUGAGCAGGCAAUAUUUAGAUGUCCUUAAAGCAAGUUAACUCAUCUUAGCUAUCCAGCUAGUCAACAGGGAAUAGGACUUCUAGUUUCCCGUGGGAGCCUCUUUGGUUGGUACCCCUAAAGUAGGCAGAUUUUCUUCCACAACAUUGGGUCAUCAUCUUCUUCAAUAACUGCACUGUGAGCUCUUUUAGGGCUGAAGCAGGCUUUAUAGUUAGUUCCUCAUACCCGGUACAGUGUCUGGAUGUAGGAACAUUCAGAAGUUAUUUUCCCACCAAGAAAGCUCGUAGGACUUCCUCUUGAUCACAUUACUUUGUUAAACAGGACAAAUCUCUGAUAAGGCUAGAGGAGGCUUGCUGGCUUGUCCCAGCUCUGGAAUAAACCAGCAAGGCAGCCUGCACUGCUCUCUGUCUGAAGGAAGGACAAGGCUGGAUCAGAAAGGGUCUGUGGUGUCUUCCAGGGGACCCCCAGGUUAGAUGCCAUUGAGAGAAGGGACAUUGUGGGAUGAGUCAUCUGGAUUGUAGGGCUAAGUGUGAAGACAUAGAGAAUCACAUUGUCAGGGUCUGCCAGCUCCAGGGACUGAGAAGAAAGUGGGGGUUGGGGGGGAUGAUGGUUUCCUAGAGCCUCCAGGAAGGUGGGGCUAGAACUGGUGGCCCUACCUUAAACCACAGCGUGUACUUUUGUACCAAGGCCCUGCUGCUCCUAGGAUGCCAGCUGAGCGACCCUGAGAGCUCUCCAGACCUCUCCCUCAAUUAAACCAGGCAAUCCUACUAAUGAAACACAGCACAGAAGGCCCCCUUCAGACUGCACAUUCAGGAAGCAUCCUUCUUGUGGGACUUUCAUGGGAAAAAGAAACCCGUAACUCUUUGAUCCCAAUUGCCAACAAGGAAUUUUUCUUAAUAUCUUUGAAAUCUUGGAGAAACAACAAGAGGCACCUGAACCUUGAAACCCUGUCUUGUUUGAUGUUAUUAUCCUCCAACAGGAUAAAUAUUAUCCUCUGGGCUAAACUUCUUUGUUCUGGGAAGAUACUACACUUGAUAUUUGGCUCUUAAAGGAAAAAGCAAGUGCUCUCACAGGCAGAAAUUCAAACCCUAGGGUCUUGUGGCAUGCAUGCUCACCAAACAGCUGGCUCUUCUCACGGGCAGUACUGCACAUGCUUUCAAGAGGAAAGUGCUUCAUCUCUAAGGAAAGUUUAGUCUGCAAAGUAGAAAACUGUGAUUGUUUCUACCAGAGAGGAAACUGUGCUGGGCCGUGUCCCAUGAGAGGAGAAAGUGGGGGGCACUUUGGAAUAUAGAGACAGGAUUCCAGGCAAGGAUGACAGGAGAAUGGGGUGACUACAGACUAUUUUCUCCCACUUUCUAGUGUUGAGAUCGCAGACCCUAGAUCUGUUAGGGUGGGCUGUGAGCUGAAUGGGGCAGAGCCCAGAGGUAGUUACACAAAGAGAAGUUUGGCUCCCAAACUUCCCAGUUCCUCAUUUCCAGAGCCAGUUUUAAGUGUGAGAGCUGCAAUUCCCGCUUUUGAUUUCCAGAUCUUUGUUAAACCCUUGUCACUCAUGAGAGCUUGGGUUUAGCUAUGCUGUUGGAAGAACUAUAGACCUGGCUGAUUACAGCACAGUACACAAGGCAGGGUACUGGUGGUAAAGCGAGCAGAAUCUGAGUAGGAGCAGCGGGUAAAGGGGUUGGUGUGAAAGCUGAAGGUUCAGGUGGGGGUAUAGGUAUAAUAUAUAUAUAUAUAUAUAUAUAUAUAUAUAUAUAUAUAUAUAAAAUAACGUUUUUUUUUUUAAGCCAGUCUGGGGUUGCAGAUUAAAAAGGAAGCAGGCAAUGGGAUAAUCCUGUAUGCAGAUGUAUGAGAGGAGGUGAGACCUCCAAAGACAGAGGCUCGGAGCUACUUUAGUAAUGCUAGUGGGGACACUGAGUUUGCGGACAAGUGGGUUAUGGCUAGUACAAUAAUGUGUCUUUUGUACACAGCACACAAGAACAAAGGUUUGUGGAGCUCUCGUCUUUGGUGGGAAGAAGAGAAUUUGUAAAGUGUUCCAUAAAUUAAAAAAGGAAAAAGAAAAGUUCCAGGACAGGUUUCACAUUUACACAAAGAAAUCGUGUCUCAAACAAAACAAACAAACAAAAACAUGCAUCUCAUUUUCCAUUAUAUGUGUUGCCCAAAUCAGUUGACGUACUGGUUUUUCCAGUGAGCAUUAAGUAGGCUUUAUAGAGCAAAAAUUGGGGAUCGGGAGCCAUUGUUAAGCGUGACUAAGAGUGAAGAUGGAUGCUACAAACACAUUCCUUAAGGUGCCUAUUCAACCUUCCUAAACGUUAGUUUUUUUUUUUUUUAUCAAGACUAUACCCACCAGACAGCUCUCUUGAGGAUUUACUACAGCCAGACCAUUAAAAGCCAUUUCUAGGAAUGAG
Myodes glareolus (Bank vole) is the source of this 3896-nucleotide non-coding RNA. NCBI's taxonomy places the organism in Eukaryota, Metazoa, Chordata, Mammalia, Rodentia, Cricetidae. The record is from RefSeq and is a predicted model, not a curated record.